AGUGAGCGCUGGCGGUAGGCCUAACACAUGCAAGUCGAACGGCAGCACAGUAAGAGCUUGCUCUUACGGGUGGCGAGUGGCGGACGGGUGAGGAAUACAUCGGAAUCUACUUUUUCGUGGGGGAUAACGUAGGGAAACUUACGCUAAUACCGCAUACGACCUACGGGUGAAAGCAGGGGAUCUUCGGACCUUGCGCGAUUAAAUGAGCCGAUGUCGGAUUAGCUAGUUGGCGGGGUAAAGGCCCACCAAGGCGACGAUCCGUAGCUGGUCUGAGAGGAUGAUCAGCCACACUGGAACUGAGACACGGUCCAGACUCCUACGGGAGGCAGCAGUGGGGAAUAUUGGACAAUGGGCGCAAGCCUGAUCCAGCCAUACCGCGUGGGUGAAGAAGGCCUUCGGGUUGUAAAGCCCUUUUGUUGGGAAAGAAAAGCAGCAGGUUAAUACCCCGCUGUUCUGACGGUACCCAAAGAAUAAGCACCGGCUAACUUCGUG
This 492-nucleotide ribosomal RNA is filed under the name uncultured bacterium. Its description in RNAcentral is "partial 16S ribosomal RNA". It matches the Rfam family "Bacterial small subunit ribosomal RNA", at positions 29 to 507 of the family's 1533-position model. The record is from RNAcentral.